This 462-nucleotide ribosomal RNA is filed under the name uncultured bacterium. RNAcentral's name for it is "partial 16S ribosomal RNA". It matches the Rfam family "Bacterial small subunit ribosomal RNA", at positions 29 to 507 of the family's 1533-position model. The record is from RNAcentral.
AGUGAACCCUGGUGGCGUGCCUAAUACAUGCAAGUCGAACGAACGAAUAAGAGCUUGCUCUUCUAAGUUAGUGGCGCACGGGUGAGUAAUAUAUAGCUAAUCUGCCUCUUAGUAGAGGAUAACAGUCGGAAACGAUUGCUAAUACUCUAUACUUCUGCUUUACAUAAGUAAAGUAGAGAAAGUUUUUCGCUAAGAGAUGAGGCUAUACUGUAUCAGCUAGUUGGUAAGGUAACGGCUUACCAAGGCUAUGACGCAUAACUGGUCUGAGAGGAUGAUCAGUCACAUUGGAACUGAGACACGGUCCAAACUCCUACGGGAGGCAGCAGUAGGGAAUAUUGCGCAAUGGGGGAAACCCUGACGCAGCAACGCCGCGUGGAGGAUGACACUUUUCGGAGCGUAAACUCCUUUUAUCGGGAAAGAAUAAUGACGGUACCCGAUGAAUAAGCACCGGCUAACUCCGUG